Molecule: ribosomal RNA, 232 nt
Filed under: uncultured bacterium
Lineage: Bacteria
Description: partial 16S ribosomal RNA
Rfam family: Bacterial small subunit ribosomal RNA
Source: RNAcentral
CGGACGGGUGAGUAAUGUCUGGGAAACUGCCUGAUGGAGGGGGAUAACUACUGGAAACGGUAGCUAAUACCGCAUAACGUCGCAAGACCAAAGAGGGGGACCUUCGGGCCUCUUGCCAUCGGAUGUGCCCAGAUGGGAUUAGCCAGUAGGUGGGGUAACGGCUCACCUAGGCGACGAUCCCUAGCUGGUCUGAGAGGAUGACCGGCCACACUGGAACUGAGACACGGUCCAG